GGGUCAGUAGGUUGGUCGUGCCACCGGUACGUACUGGUCUCACUGAUUCCUCCUUCCUGAAGAACCGUAAUGCCAUUAAUUUGGUGUUGCGGGGAAACAGGACUGUUACUUUGAAAAAAUUAGAGUGUUUAGAGCAAGCUAACGCUUGAAUACAUUAGCACGGAAUAAUGAAAUAGGACGAUCGAUCCUAUUUUGUUGGUUUCUAGGAUUGACGUA
RNAcentral lists this ribosomal RNA (216 nucleotides) under Glomeromycotina sp. RNAcentral describes it as "partial small subunit ribosomal RNA". The stretch from base 40 to 216 matches the Rfam family "Eukaryotic small subunit ribosomal RNA", at positions 686 to 864 of the family's 1831-position model. The record is from RNAcentral. Lineage: Eukaryota; Fungi; Glomeromycota.